UUCCUUCCUUUCUAUUAGUGGCAAAAAUGCGACAAUAUUUUUUUAAAGUCUAAAAAGGCACACAAUUAGCUUAGAGUUUGGUCUGUUAUCUAUCGCAAACCCUCGGCCAUGUCUGGUAUGUACAAUCAAGACGGCGGCGGUGGUGCGCCUAUUUCGUCCUACGGUGGUGAUGCUGGAUAUGGAGGACGCAGUGCCUCUGGCGGAGGUGGGUACGGCGGACGCGGUGGCGGUAGAGGAAACAACCGUGGAGGCGGUGGCGGUGGUGGAUAUCAAGGAGGUGAUCGCGGUGGAAGAGGAGGCGCCGGCGGCGGAAGAGGUGGUGGUGGCAGAGAUGGUGAUUGGCCUUGCCCUAACCCAAGUUGUGGGAACGUAAACUUUGCAAGGAGAGUUGAAUGUAACAAGUGUGGUGCGCCUGCUCCUUCUGGCACUGGUGACCGAGGAGGUGGCCGAGGGGCCAGUGAUCGUGGUGGUGGUGGUCGUGAUAGUGGUAGUAGGAGCUGUGAGAGUAGUAGAUAUGAUGGUGGCAGUAGGAGUAGAGGUGAUGGUGUUGGUGGUGGCUCGUACGGUAGUAAUAGUCAACAUAGGGAUAAUGGUUCUUAUAGUCAGCGUCCUCCACCUCUGGCUGCUAUUCCAUCGUAUGAUGGUUCUGGCAGUUACUCUCCUCCACCCAUGGGGUAUGGAAUGGAAGCAGUUCCCCCGCCUUCAAGCUAUGCUGGCGGUCCCCCUUCUUAUGGUGGUCCUUCAGGGGGUUAUGAUGGUGGUCGGGGUGGUAGAGGUGGUGGAUAUGAUGGUGGUAGUGCUUCUCGACGCCAGGAGCCUAGUUAUGGAGAUGCACCUGCUGAAAAAGUCAAGCAUUGCGACGAGAAUUGUGAUGAAACUUGUGAUAAUGCAAGAAUAUACAUCUCUAAUUUACCUCCGGAUGUGACCGUUGAUGAACUCAAGGAUCUCUUCGGUGGCAUUGGUCAAGUUGGAAGAAUCAAGCAGAAACGGGGUUACAAAGACCAGUGGCCUUAUAACAUCAAGAUCUACACUGAUGAGAAGGGAAAGAAUAAAGGUGAUGCAUGUCUGGCUUAUGAAGAUCCCAGCGCCGCACACUCAGCAGGCGGCUUUUUCAACAAUUAUGAAAUGAGGGGGAACAAGAUUGGUGUAACGAUGGCAGAGAAGUCUGCUCCCAAAGCUCCUACUUUUGACCAGAGAGGCGGUGGUGGUAGAGGAGGAGGCGGCUAUGGUGGUGGAGACAGAAGAAGAGAUAACUAUGGUUCAGGACCAGACAGAAACCACCAUGGGGGAAACCGGUCUCGUCCAUAUUGAGAAAAAGAGAUGAAUAAAUGAAACAGUUAUUAUGUGUUAUAAGAGUUUGUGUGUGUAAGGGGUCGGGGAUGUUAUAUGAAUCAAUCACAUAUUGGAGAUACCAAACAAAACAAGAGAAGGAAGUGGAAAAUUAACUCCAAAAUGCAUUGCAAAUUGGUGGGUAAGGGUUCAUGAUGAUUUUCAGGUGAGUGCAUUAAUAUUCUUUUCACUUUCUUGACAAGCACAUAACUCCCGUUGUUGUUUCUCUUCCUGAAUCUUCUUUUUGACUCUGUUCAUCUUGUAUUAUGCACUCAUCUAGGCAAACAUACAAUUCGUAGAUUUAUUACGUGAGAAACGGCAGGAGUAGAGCGACCAGCUACAUUUGUGUCUAAUCCGUAUAGCCUGAAGGAGGCAGUUGUGAAUUUAGUACUAACUAGGUCCGGGUAUUAUAGAGACCCUUUUGGCUAUAGCUACUUGAUGAGUAUUACAAAAGGAGUGGCGUUUUUAGGUCAAUACAAAAUUAGAAAUAAUGCAUCACGUAAGUUACAUUUCAGAGGCUAAAGGGAAGGGUGUCU
Brassica oleracea var. oleracea is the source of this 1865-nucleotide RNA transcript. It is a transcript of the gene named transcription initiation factor TFIID subunit 15b-like, with no coding region annotated. The transcript has 7 exons. Lineage: Eukaryota; Viridiplantae; Streptophyta; Magnoliopsida; Brassicales; Brassicaceae. The record is from RefSeq and is a predicted model, not a curated record.